AAUUACCUACGGGAGGCAGCAGUGAGGAAUAUUGGUCAAUGGGAGAGAUCCUGAACCAGCCAAGCCGCGUGAGGGAAGACGGCCCUAUGGGUUGUAAACCUCUUUUGUCGGAGAACACAACCCGGGACGUGUCCCGGACUGCGUGUAUCCGAAGAAAAAGCAUCGGCUAACUCCGUGCCAGCAGCCGCGGUAAUACGGAGGAGGCGAGCGUUAUCCGGAUUUAUUGGGUUUACAGGGUGCGGAGUCGGUCCGUUAAGUCCGCGGGACAAUUGCGGUGCGCACCC
This 284-nucleotide ribosomal RNA is filed under the name uncultured bacterium. Its description in RNAcentral is "partial 16S ribosomal RNA". It matches the Rfam family "Bacterial small subunit ribosomal RNA", at positions 333 to 614 of the family's 1533-position model. The record is from RNAcentral.